This 1450-nucleotide ribosomal RNA is filed under the name uncultured bacterium. RNAcentral's name for it is "bacterial SSU rRNA". It matches the Rfam family "Bacterial small subunit ribosomal RNA". The record is from RNAcentral.
AGAGUUUGAUCCUGGCUCAGGAUGAACGCUGGCGGCGUGCUUAACACAUGCAAGUCGAACGAACCUUCGGGUUAGUGGCGGACGGGUGAGUAACGCGUGGGAAUCUGCCCUCAGGAGGGGGAUAACGGCUGGAAACGGCCGCUAAUACCCCAUAUGCCGCGAGGUGAAAUGAAUUUCGCCUGAGGAUGAGCCCGCGUCUGAUUAGCUAGUUGGUGGGGUAAAGGCCUACCAAGGCGACGAUCAGUAGCUGGUCUGAGAGGAUGAUCAGCCACACUGGGACUGAGACACGGCCCAGACUCCUACGGGAGGCAGCAGUGGGGAAUUUUCCGCAAUGGGCGAAAGCCUGACGGAGCAACGCCGCGUGAGGGAUGAAGGCCUCUGGGCUGUAAACCUCUUUUCUCAAGGAAGAAGACCUGACGGUACUUGAGGAAUAAGCCACGGCUAAUUCCGUGCCAGCAGCCGCGGUAAUACGGGAGUGGCAAGCGUUAUCCGGAAUUAUUGGGCGUAAAGCGUCCGCAGGCGGCCUUGUAAGUCUGUCGUUAAAGCGUGGAGCUUAACUCCAUUUCGGCGAUGGAAACUACAAGGCUUGAGUGUGGUAGGGGCAGAGGGAAUUCCCGGUGUAGCGGUGAAAUGCGUAGAUAUCGGGAAGAACACCAGUGGCGAAGGCGCUCUGCUGGGCCAUAACUGACGCUCAUGGACGAAAGCCAGGGGAGCGAAAGGGAUUAGAUACCCCUGUAGUCCUGGCCGUAAACGAUGAACACUAGGUGUCGGGGGAAUCGACCCCCUCGGUGUCGUAGCCAACGCGUUAAGUGUUCCGCCUGGGGAGUACGCACGCAAGUGUGAAACUCAAAGGAAUUGACGGGGGCCCGCACAAGCGGUGGAGUAUGUGGUUUAAUUCGAUGCAACGCGAAGAACCUUACCAGGGUUUGACAUCCUGCGAACCCCUGAGAAAUCGGGGGGUGCCUUCGGGAGCGCAGAGACAGGUGGUGCAUGGCUGUCGUCAGCUCGUGUCGUGAGAUGUUGGGUUAAGUCCCGCAACGAGCGCAACCCACGUCGUUAGUUGCCAGCAUUAAGUUGGGCACUCUAGCGAGACCGCCGGUGAUAAACCGGAGGAAGGUGUGGAUGACGUCAAGUCAUCAUGCCCCUUACAUCCUGGGCUACACACGUACUACAAUGCUACGGACAAAGGGCAGCAAGCUCGCGAGAGUAAGCAAAUCCCAUAAACCGUGGCUCAGUUCAGAUCGUAGGCUGCAACUCGCCUACGUGAAGGAGGAAUCGCUAGUAAUCGCAGGUCAGCAUACUGCGGUGAAUACGUUCCCGGGCCUUGUACACACCGCCCGUCACACCAUGGAAGUUGGCCAUGCCCGAAGUCGUUACUCCAACCCUUGUGGAGGAGGACGCCGAAGGUGGGGCUGAUGACUGGGGUGAAGUCGUAACAAGGUAGCCGUAA